RNAcentral lists this unclassified non-coding RNA (253 nucleotides) under uncultured Chlamydiales bacterium. Its description in RNAcentral is "contains 16S-23S intergenic spacer region". It matches the Rfam family "Bacterial small subunit ribosomal RNA", at positions 524 to 776 of the family's 1533-position model. Lineage: Bacteria; Pseudomonadati; Chlamydiota; Chlamydiia; Chlamydiales. The record is from RNAcentral.
UACGGAGGGUGCAAGCAUUAAUCGGAUUCAUUGGGCGUAAAGGGGGCGUAGGCGGAAAUGCAAGCCAGAUGUGAAAUCCCGGGGCUCAACCCCGGAACUGCAUUUGGAACUGCAUUUCUAGAGGAUAGGCGGAGAAAACGGAAUUCCACAUGUAGCGGUGAAAUGCGUAGAUAUGUGGAAGAACACCGGUGGCGAAAGCGGUUUUCUAGCUUAUUCCUGACGCUGAGGCCCGAAAGCUAGGGGAGCAAACAGG